Molecule: small RNA, 377 nt
Filed under: Arabidopsis thaliana (thale cress)
Lineage: Eukaryota; Viridiplantae; Streptophyta; Magnoliopsida; Brassicales; Brassicaceae
Description: ATSL279260
Source: RNAcentral
UACAUCAUUCAUAUAGCACAUUUGAAAUACUACACGAAAUUUUUUCGACCUUAAUUUUGAACUAAUUAAGAUUAUUUUUAUUUAAAAUCUCACAAAAAUUUAGUUUAAAAAAAACAAUCGUUCCAUCAUUCUCUAUCUUCUAUCUCCUCUAAAAAAACAGAUCUAUGAGUUUAGUUUUCGCCGUUUUUGCAUUAAAGUCUUUUCAUUGUCGAUAGUUGGGUUGGUGGACGAAGAUAAACGCUUUUCUUCUCCGAUCAUAUGAUGAGACGAGGUAGAUGAUGAUAUUUCUAAAGCAAUAAUGUUUAUGCUCAAAUGAAUUUAUUAAGAGAAAUAUAAACCGGAAAUUAGAUAGUUCAUUAAGAGUUUAUUAUUCAAAU